CCAAGCCCGGAAAAUUUCGGGCUGAACUGGGUUGGAAAUGAUCACCCCCGAGAAUAAGCUAGCAGCAAGGAUAGCAAGUUGAGCGACGGCUACGAGUAGCGGUGGGAAAACAAAUAUGAUUUUCUCCCCACUUGUAGGAUAUAGGCUCAUAUAGCUUCUUCUGCUGCUGACUGUAGAGGAUUAAUUAGGGUUUCAAUCUCGUUUGGCGCUCUUUCAAAAACAUUCCAAACCGAAACCUAAUUCCGUAUAGUUCGAUUCUGGAGGAAUCAAAUUGCGCUCUCUUUUGGAUCUCGCAUUUGCAUGGAAUAGCGUGAUGACAGGGCAAUAAUUGGGGAGAUGAAAAUUCAGAUAAAAAAAUGAAAGGUCAAGGAAGUUAUGUGCCACCACCUUAUAUUCCAUUGGGACAGUCGGAGGUAGAAGAAGAUGGCGUUAGACAGAGUGAUGAACUUCCUGCUCAACGUCAGACAAGUGAUGGUCCUGAGCAGUGGUCUUCUGGGAUCUGUGCUUGCUGUGAUGAUAUGCAGAGUUGUUGCAUAGGCCUCUUUUGUCCUUGUUUCUUGUUUGCAAAGAAUGCGGAGUUUUUGGGCUCUGGAACAUUGAUUGGAUCGUGCACGACCCAUUUUAUUUUGUGCGGUCUUGCCAAUAUCCUUUGCUGUCUUCUGACUGAUGGCAUUCUCUUGGGAUUGCCAGGAUGCUUUGUUGCAUGUUAUGCUUGUGGUUACCGCAGAGCAUUACGGACAAAGUAUAAUCUGCAGGACGAUUGAAGUUCAUGCAUAAAAGGCCACCAACUGCGCCAGUUAGAAGAAGUAAUUUGUUACACAUUGAAGGGGCUAGAAGAGCUCGGGGUAGAUCAAAAAGGAUAUGGUAGAAGUAGUAAGAAAUGAUUUAAGCAUUAAUAAUAUAACAGUGGACAUGGAUUUAAAUAGAAUGGAUUGGCAAAGCAGGAUUCGUGUAGCCUACCCCAUAUAGUUGGGAUAAGACAUGGAUGAUGAUGAUGAUGCUGAUGAUAUUCGUGCUGUGUGCCUUUUCCUUAAAGCUGCUGCAGCACCUUCUGAUUCUUUGCCAAUUCUGUAGGAAGCACCUUGUGGGGAUUUAACUACUCACCUGUUCUGCCACCUGUGUGCGAUCUGUCAAGAAUAUAGGGAGAUCCGUGACAAAUCAGGAAAUUCUAAUCAAUCCGAUCUUAAACUUGCGGUUGUGACUGCCCCACCUGUACAGACAAUGGGGUCGG
This is a non-coding RNA of Nelumbo nucifera (sacred lotus), 1231 nucleotides long. NCBI's taxonomy places the organism in Eukaryota, Viridiplantae, Streptophyta, Magnoliopsida, Proteales, Nelumbonaceae. The record is from RefSeq and is a predicted model, not a curated record.